AGAAAAAAAUGAAAAGAGUUAUUUGGAUCUUGUUGUUGUACUUUCUGUUUUUAUUGGUUUAAUGGCCUCAUUCGUUCUGAUAAGGAAUGUCGUUAAAAGAAGAAGAAGAAAGUUA
RNAcentral lists this non-coding RNA (115 nucleotides) under Corethron hystrix. The record is from RNAcentral. Lineage: Eukaryota; Bacillariophyta; Corethrophyceae; Corethrales; Corethraceae.